Anguilla anguilla (European eel) is the source of this 1143-nucleotide long non-coding RNA. RefSeq lists it as uncharacterized. Lineage: Eukaryota; Metazoa; Chordata; Actinopteri; Anguilliformes; Anguillidae. The transcript is spliced from 2 exons. The record is from RefSeq and is a predicted model, not a curated record.
CAGGAGUUUCCACUUCCAUACUGGCCAUUAUGAUUCAGGACUUAACGAGACGUAUGGAAUGGCGCGGUCUGCUUUGUCGCCCACUUUUAUGUCACCAGAAGUACAUCUCGAACCUUGGACUUGAGAUCAAAGAAUCCACCAGCUGUGAUGUGUCCGAUACUGCCCUGGAGGACUACCCAUCUGAUGCAACUGGUAGAGUCAGAUCACAGAUGCUGCCUACCUGACCAGCAGAAUCUCUACUGAGAAAAAAAGGCAAGAAACCUUUCCUCUAAGGGUAAUAUUGUGGCAUUAUUCAUAAUUCCAUGGGGCUCCAGCCACAGUGGAAAGUGAUGUGGUCCACAUUUGAUCUGUGCCAGACGAUUCAUCGCGACACCCUAAGCCAGUGCUUCAGCUCGGCACUCCACUGAAAGAAAUCUCUGAUGACAUGUUAUUGCCAAUGGUACUGAGAGUUCCAUAUGCACACUGACUCAGGAAGAAACCAUCAUGUGUGUCAUGUCUUCAGGCUGUACCAUGGCUCUACUGCCUCUCUUCACCAUCCUUUCUUUCUUUCGGAAUUUGCUUUUGGGAUAAUUAUGUUAUAGGUUGACUGAAAAUGUGUAAUGGAAUUUUCUUUAGUGUAAAAUGCUAAGUGCUUGUUUGUUUGGGUAACUACCCUUAAUGAAUAUAACGGGGCCUUCUGUGCCUUCUUGGUGAUUUGCCUCUGUGUUCCUGGGAAUAACACUGAUGUUCAGAUGAUAUUCUCGAACUACACAAUAAACCAGCUGCAUUGCACUAACCACAGUCUAUAAAAAAUAAAGUGGCAAUUAUUUAUUCAGGCCGGUGUGAUACCCUACACAGCUAGUAAGUAUGAUGGCACUAAUGAGUAUAAUUUAGAAAGGUGACAAACUUCUGGGAAUCUUAUUUCAAAUCACCUGUCAAGUUAUCACCAUGUCUGGCACAAUCAUUACAAUGGGUCAAAUUUUCCCCUCUCUCUUUGCAGACUGGCUGGCUGGCUGGCUGGCUUAAUGCCAAUAAUAAGUUUAUGGAAGGGUAUAUUCUAUGCAUUACAAAAUUAUUUGAAACAGCACCCAGAAAACAUGCACCGUCUUCACAAUUAAAGAAAACUGAGAAAAGAUGCUCCUGUUGUAUCACAAAAAUGUAAAA